UUUAUUGGAGAGUUUGAUCCUGGCUCAGGACGAACGCUGGCGGCGUGCCUAACACAUGCAAGUCGAACGAAGAUAUUAGAUGAAGCUUGCGAUUCUAAUAUUUUAGUGGCGGACGGGUGAGUAACGCGUGGGUGAUCUGCCCAUAAGUGGGGAAUAACAGUUGGAAACGACUGCUAAUACCGCAUACGCUACCGCAAGGUAGGAAAGGUGGCCUCUGAAUAUGCUGCCGCUUAUGGAUGAGCCCGCGUCUGAUUAGCUAGUUGGUGGGGUAAAGGCCUACCAAGGCGACGAUCAGUAGCCGGCCUGAGAGGGUGAACGGCCACACUGGGACUGAGACACGGCCCAGACUCCUACGGGAGGCAGCAGUGGGGAAUAUUGCGCAAUGGGGGAAACCCUGACGCAGCGACGCCGCGUGAGCGAUGAAGGCCUUAGGGUUGUAAAGCUCUGUUUUAGGGGACGAAUGUCUAGAUCAGUAAUAUGGGUUUAGAAUGACGGUACCCUAAGAGGAAGCCCCGGCUAACUACGUGCCAGCAGCCGCGGUAAGACGUAGGGGGCGAGCGUUGUCCGGAAUUACUGGGCGUAAAGAGCACGUAGGCGGGAAUUUAAGUCAGAUGUGAAAGACCGGGGCUCAACCCCGGGGUUGCAUUUGAAACUGGAUUUCUUGAGGGCAGGAGAGGAAAGCAGAAUUCCUGGUGUAGCGGUGAAAUGCGUAGAAAUCAGGAGGAAUACCAGUGGCGAAGGCGGCUUUCUGGACUGUCCCUGACGCUGAGGUGCGAAAGCGUGGGUAGCAAACAGGAUUAGAUACCCUGGUAGUCCACGCCGUAAACGAUGGAUACUAGGUGUGGGAGGUAUCGACCCCUUCCGUGCCGCAGCUAACGCAAUAAGUAUCCCGCCUGGGGAGUACGAUCGCAAGGUUGAAACUCAAAGGAAUUGACGGGGGCCCGCACAAGCGGUGGAGCAUGUGGUUUAAUUCGAUGCAACGCGAAGAAGAGCUUUGAGACAGGUGGUGCAUGGUUGUCGUCAGCUCGUGUCGUGAGAUGUUGGGUUAAGUCCCGCAACGAGCGCAACCCUUGCUAUUAGUUGCUAACAGGUAAUGCUGAGCACUCUAAUGGGACUGCCGGUGACAAGCCGGAGGAAGGUGGGGAUGACGUCAAAUCAUCAUGCCCUUUAUGACCUGGGCUACACACGUGCUACAAUGGAUGGUACAGAGAGCAGCAAGACCGCGAGGUGGAGCGAAUCUCAAAAAGCCAUUCUCAGUUCGGAUUGGAGUCUGCAACUCGACUCCAUGAAGUCGGAAUCGCUAGUAAUCGCGAAUCAGCAUGUCGCGGUGAAUGCGUUCCCGGGCCUUGUACACACCGCCCGUCACACCACGAAAGUCGGCAACACCCGAAGCCAGUGAGCUAACUCUUCGGAGAGGCAGCUGUCGAAGGUGGGGUUGGUAAUUGGGGUGAAGUCGUAACAAGGUAUCCGUACCGGAAGGUGCGGAUGGAUCACCUCCUUUCUA
Molecule: ribosomal RNA, 1504 nt
Filed under: Firmicutes bacterium HGW-Firmicutes-15
Lineage: Bacteria; Bacillati; Bacillota
Description: bacterial SSU rRNA
Rfam family: Bacterial small subunit ribosomal RNA
Source: RNAcentral